This is a long non-coding RNA of Hemibagrus wyckioides, 281 nucleotides long. RefSeq lists it as uncharacterized. Lineage: Eukaryota; Metazoa; Chordata; Actinopteri; Siluriformes; Bagridae. The record is from RefSeq and is a predicted model, not a curated record. The transcript is spliced from 4 exons.
GCGAGCUGAACCGAGCCUGUAGUGAUGUUCAGCUUCUAUCUACAGUCUCCUUCAGCUCCCAGUCUGAGUCAGUGGACAUUAUCCAAGAUGUCCUCGGCAUGGUCAGUGGUCCAGAGAGUCGGCUCUGCUGCUUGGAGACCACAGAGAGCCAGUGCUUGAAUAUGGAGGAAUCCUCUCAUGUUCAUGACACUGAGGAGCAUCUCCCUGACAUUCAGGUCGAUGAGCCGUCCCUUCAGCUGCCUUUGGACACAUUGCAAUGUGAGCCUUCAGCUGAUGCUCUG